GGGCCGUUAGCUCAGUUGGUUAGAGCAGAGGACUCAUAAUCCUUUGGUCGCUGGUUCAAGUCCAGCACGGCCCA
This 74-nucleotide transfer RNA is filed under the name Ferriphaselus amnicola. It matches the Rfam family "tRNA". From Rfam's summary of the family: Transfer RNA (tRNA) molecules are approximately 80 nucleotides in length. Their secondary structure includes four short double-helical elements and three loops (D, anti-codon, and T loops). The record is from Rfam by way of RNAcentral. Lineage: Bacteria; Pseudomonadati; Pseudomonadota; Betaproteobacteria; Nitrosomonadales; Gallionellaceae.